AAUUAUACCGUGAAACUGCGAAUGGCUCAUUAAAUCAGUUAUCGUUUAUUUGAUAAUACCUUACUACUUGGAUAACCGUGGUAAUUCUAGAGCUAAUACAUGCUGAAAAUCCCGACUUCGGAAGGGAUGUGUUUAUUAGAUAAAAAACCAAUGCCCUUCGGGGCUUUUUGGUGAUUCAUGAUAACUUUACGGAUCGCAUAGCCUUGCGCUGGCGACGGUUCAUUCAAAUUUCUGCCCUAUCAACUUUCGAUGGUAAGGUAUUGGCUUACCAUGGUUUCAACGGGUAACGGGGAAUUAGGGUUCGAUUCCGGAGAGGGAGCCUGAGAAACGGCUACCACAUCCAAGGAAGGCAGCAGGCGCGCAAAUUACCCAAUCCCGACACGGGGAGGUAGUGACAAUAAAUACUGAUACAGGGCUCUUUUGGGUCUUGUAAUUGGAAUGAGUACAAUUUAAACCUCUUAACGAGGAACAAUUGGAGGGCAAGUCUGGUGCCAGCAGCCGCGGUAAUUCCAGCUCCAAUAGCGUAUAUUAAAGUUGUUGCAGUUAAAAAGCUCGUAGUUGAAACUUGGGCCUGGCUGGCGGGUCCGCCUCACCGCGUGCACUCGUCCGGCCGGGCCUUCCUUCUGAAGAACCUCAUGCCCUUCACUGGGCGUGCUGGGGAAUCAGGACUUUUACUUUGAAAAAAUUAGAGUGUUCAAAGCAGGCCUUUGCUCGAAUACGUUAGCAUGGAAUAAUAAAAUAGGGCGUGCGUUUCUAUUUUGUUGGUUUCUAGAGACGCCGCAAUGAUUAACAGGAACAGUCGGGGGCAUCAGUAUUCAGUUGUCAGAGGUGAAAUUCUUGGAUUUACUGAAGACUAACUACUGCGAAAGCAUUUGCCAAGGAUGUUUUCAUUAAUCAGUGAACGAAAGUUAGGGGAUCGAAGACGAUCAGAUACCGUCGUAGUCUUAACCGUAAACUAUGCCGACUAGGGAUCGGGCGAUGUUCUUUUUCUGACUCGCUCGGCACCUUACGAGAAAUCAAAGUUUU
Molecule: ribosomal RNA, 1026 nt
Filed under: Alternaria alternata
Lineage: Eukaryota; Fungi; Ascomycota; Dothideomycetes; Pleosporales; Pleosporaceae
Description: SSU rRNA
Rfam family: Eukaryotic small subunit ribosomal RNA
Source: RNAcentral